Molecule: ribosomal RNA, 393 nt
Filed under: uncultured bacterium
Lineage: Bacteria
Description: partial 16S ribosomal RNA
Rfam family: Bacterial small subunit ribosomal RNA
Source: RNAcentral
AUACGAGGGGUGCAAGCGUUGUUCGGAAUUACUGGGCGUAAAGGGAGCGUAGGCGGAGAUUCAAGCGGAUUGUACAAUCCCGGGGCCCAACCCCGGCUCUGCAGUCCGAACUGGAUCUCUUGGAUAGUUCAGGGGCAGGCGGAAUUCCUGGUGGAGCGGUGGAAUGCGUAGAGAUCAGGAAGAACACCGAUGGCGAAGGCAGCCUGCUGGGGACUUAUCGACGCUGAGGCUCGAAAGUGCGGGUAGCAAACAGGAUUAGAUACCCUGGUAGUCCGCACCGUAAACGAUGCAUACUGGGUGUCCGGGGGUUCCCCCGGGUACCGUAGCCAACGCGUUAAGUAUGCCGCCUGGGGAGUACGUACGCAAGUAUGAAACUCAAAUGAAUUGACGGGG